Long non-coding RNA from Pipistrellus kuhlii (Kuhl's pipistrelle), 1457 nucleotides. RefSeq lists it as uncharacterized. The transcript is spliced from 2 exons. The record is from RefSeq and is a predicted model, not a curated record. Lineage: Eukaryota; Metazoa; Chordata; Mammalia; Chiroptera; Vespertilionidae.
CCCGUGGGAGCGCACUGACCACUAGGGAGCAGCUCCUGUGUUGAGCAUCUGCCCCCUUGUGGUCAGUGAGCAUUACAGCGACCCGUCAUUCUGAUCUUUUCACUAUAAUGGUCGCUUAGGUUUUUAUGAUAUAGAUUUCAUGUUGUUAUAGUGAAGUGAAGGCAUCUAAAAUAUUUCAAAAACAGUUAACUGUCUUCACUAUUUCAACACUUCUUCAAUUACCUCCACAUAUUAUUCAUGCAAUUAGCUUGAUUUAGCAACCCCUAAAAAUUUAGAGAACAUUUUUGCCUCAAACUUAGCUAGAAUUUUCACAAAUCACAAAUAACCUGAUCACAAUUAAUAAACUUAAUUACAAUUAAAGACUUCCUAUGAUUGUUAAUUUGGCUAGUAUUCAGCUAACAGUAUCAAGGUUUAAAAUUCCAAUAUACAGUAUUAAAAAAAACAAAACCUGUUUAGCUUUAAAAAUUCUUUUUGCUUACAUUUGAGGCUCAUUUUGAUUUUAAUAUAUAUCAAUUAACUUGCCUUAGUGAUUACCUAGAAUUAUCUUGGUCAUGUAAAUUUCAUAUCAAACUCAGUAAGUCUUAAAUUUUCAUAUAUAAAUAUUGAUUUCAGAGAGGAAUGGAGAAGGAGAGAAAGGUAGAAACAUCAGUGAUGAGAGAGGAUCCUUGAUCGGCUGCCUCCUGCAGGCUCCCCACUGGGGUCUGAGCCCCCACCUCGGGCAUGUGCCCUUGGCUGGAAUCGAACCCUGGGCCCUUCAGUCCACAGGCUGACACUCUAUCCACUGAGCCAAACCUGCUAGUGCAAAUUUUCCUUUUUUAAUAAUAUAAAUAUCUCAUCAUGCUUAUUAUAUUAUUGCAUUUAAGUACUGAAAAUUAUUACUGUGUAGCAUUUCUAUUGAUUGAUUAAUUGACUGUCUCCUCAACUUUUAGUUUGAUUUGCAAAAUGGUAUAAUAUACACUUAUAUACCUUUACCUGUAUUCACCAAUUACUAACUGCCAAAUUUUUUCACUUGCUCUCAUUUUCACUCUUUCUCUCCAUGUGUAUUUCCCCUUUAUAACAUUUGACAGUUGCUUGCAAACAUAAACUAACAUUUUAGCAAAUAUCUUUAAGGACAAAGGCUUUUCUUACAUACUCAUAAUACAAUAAUCACUCUCAGGAAAUUUAAUAUUAACAUAAUACUGUUAUCUAGUAUGUAGUAAUACUUACAUUUUUCCAGUGUCUGAAAGAACAUUUUCCAUAAUUUCUUAAAUUUCAGGAUCCAUUCAGAGAUUGCAUAUUGCCGUUGAUUGUCAUGUUUUUCUAUCUCUUCUUUAAAUUGGAGAACUCCUCCCAGCCAUUUUGUCUUUCAUGAUAUUGACAUUCAUUUUUGGGUCAUGCAUGAAUUUUUUCCUGCCACAGCUUAAGUGAGGUUUUGAAAUAAUAACUGACAUGGGAAUUUAAAUAGAAGUUUUUUUUUU